GGUAGUAAAAGUCGUAACAAGGUUUCCGUAGGUGAACCUGCGGAAGGAUCAUUAUUGUAUAACCGAGGUGCGAGGGCUGUCGCUGACCCGAAAGGUCGUGCACGCCCGAGUGCCCUCACACACAUCCAUCUCACCCCUAUGUGCACCACCGCGUGGGUCCCCCUUUGGCUUGUUCGGAGGGGGGCUUACGUUUUCACACAAACUUUGUAUGCAGUGUAGAAUGUAUUUUUUGUUUUUGCGAUCACGCAAUCAAUACAACUUUCAACAACGGAUCUCUUGGCGCUC
This 285-nucleotide unclassified non-coding RNA is filed under the name plant metagenome. Its description in RNAcentral is "partial contains small subunit ribosomal RNA and internal transcribed spacer 1". The stretch from base 1 to 54 matches the Rfam family "Eukaryotic small subunit ribosomal RNA", at positions 1778 to 1831 of the family's 1831-position model. The record is from RNAcentral.